This 299-nucleotide unclassified non-coding RNA is filed under the name uncultured fungus. Its description in RNAcentral is "sequence contains ITS1". The stretch from base 1 to 105 matches the Rfam family "5.8S ribosomal RNA", at positions 50 to 154 of the family's 154-position model. The record is from RNAcentral. Lineage: Eukaryota; Fungi.
GAAAUGCGAUACGUAAUGUGAAUUGCAGAAUUCAGUGAAUCAUCGAAUCUUUGAACGCACAUUGCGCCCGCCAGCACUCUGGCGGGCAUGCCUGUUCGAGCGUCAUUUCAACCAUCAAGCCCUAGGCUUGCGUUGGAGCCCUGCGGCUGCCGCAGUCUCCUAAAAACAGUGGCGGGCUCGCUAUCACACCGAGUGCAGUAAAUUACUCUUCUCUCAGGCCGUGUAGCGGGUUCCAGCCGUAAAACCCCCCACUAUCAAAGGUUGACCUCGGAUCAGGUAGGAAUACCCGCUGAACUUAA